This 249-nucleotide ribosomal RNA is filed under the name uncultured bacterium. Its description in RNAcentral is "partial 16S ribosomal RNA". It matches the Rfam family "Bacterial small subunit ribosomal RNA", at positions 796 to 1041 of the family's 1533-position model. The record is from RNAcentral.
CUGGCCGUAAACGAUGGGUACUAGGUGUAGGAGGUAUCGACCCCUUCUGUGCCGGAGUUAACGCAAUAAGUACCCCGCCUGGGGAGUACGGCCGCAAGGCUGAAACUCAAAGGAAUUGACGGGGGCCCGCACAAGCGGUGGAGUAUGUGGUUUAAUUCGACGCAACGCGAAGAACCUUACCAAGCCUUGACAUUGAUCGCAAUGGAUAGAGAUAUCCAGUUCCUCUUCGGAGGACGAGAAAACAGGUGG